UCAAAAUAUUAAUUAAAACUCUACUAGUAUCCCAGGUCAGAUUGAUCACAGCGAGACGGUCUUACCUCACUCUCCGGAUCGAGGAAGGACCAGCCGCCCUGCUCGAAAAAGCCCUCGGGAUCGUCCACAAUGGUCUUCAUGAUCUUGGUCCAGUUCAGAGACUGUACGCCUUCAGUGUACUUGAUAUCGCACGAGCUGCACACAGACACACAACACGUUCACUCGCACUGUAAACGUCUCAGACGAGAGCGGCGCGGCCGGCAUGCCAGCUUACUUGAGCCACUCUUUGAUGGGAUCCAGAGAGUUGACGGGCACAGCGUUGAUCAUGGUGACUUUCUUGUUGUAGUCCUUAUAAACGAUGACCACGUCGAAGUUCUUCAGGUGGAAGUGCAGCACGAUGAUCAUCUCUCCGUCGCAGGGCUGGAAAAUGGCGUGUUUGAUGUUGUUGUAAAGGAUGUCGACUUUAUCGCCGCGUACUGACGUGAAACGGAAACCUGGAGAGACACACAGAGUCAGUUUUUUGUGAUUAACAUUCAUAUUUUAUAUAUCGCUUCUGCACCUCUUUGAUGAUACGGAAGGCGUUCUGCAGGUUGGUGGAGGGAACGGAGUGAUCGCCGGGCGACUUGAGGUUCGACGCGCGGUACGUACUGAAAAGAACAGUGUUAGCACGCAAAAAGGCUUUAACGCUUGCUUAAAAAAAAGCACUGUUCAACCUACAGGUCUGAAAAUGACAGAACAGUCAUUUAGGCUAAAACACAAGCUGAAAAAUGAACAAAUGUGUCACAAAAAGUUGAUGCAAAUGAAUUUGAAUCAAAAGGUGUUCAGACCAAAACCAUUUGCAUGGCAGGUUUCUUUAUGGAGAGGAUCUAAUCUCUUCUCGAGUGCACUGCAAGUAAAUCACAAACAGAUUAUUUUGCCGAGCGAAAGUUAAGAGAAGUUAUUGUUUGUGUUUAUAAUUUAGCACCAUGCUAUAGCCCCACAGUUAUAUCUAUGCCAAGAAACAAGUGAAAAAUAGAAAAGUAAAAUACCUAAAUUAUAGACUACACACACACACACACACACACAAAAAAAAAAAAAAAGUGUAAAGCUUCUCUCUAAAUCUAAACUAAAGCUGGUCUCACUUUAAUACCAAAAAAUAAAUAAAUUAGUGAUGCACCAAAAUAAAUUCUGGCUGACACUGAAAUGCACUUUUUAAAAAAACAGA
Molecule: long non-coding RNA, 1204 nt
Filed under: Sinocyclocheilus rhinocerous
Lineage: Eukaryota; Metazoa; Chordata; Actinopteri; Cypriniformes; Cyprinidae
Description: lncRNA (ENSSRHG00000013293.1)
Source: RNAcentral